Molecule: small nucleolar RNA, 148 nt
Filed under: Monodelphis domestica (gray short-tailed opossum)
Lineage: Eukaryota; Metazoa; Chordata; Mammalia; Didelphimorphia; Didelphidae
Description: Small nucleolar RNA SNORA79 (ENSMODG00000026604.1)
Rfam family: Small nucleolar RNA SNORA79
About the family: ACA65 (SNORA79) is a member of the H/ACA class of snoRNAs that guide the sites of modification of uridines to pseudouridines. This snoRNA was identified by computational screening and its expression in mouse experimentally verified by Northern blot and primer extension analysis.
Source: Rfam by way of RNAcentral
AGAUGGCUGUUCCUCUCAUUGCUUUUGAGUUUUGGCAGUGGGAUUUUAGGCCAUCACAGAUCAAAUCUGGUCUUUUCUUCACUCAGGGCACCAUUGGAUGGAUUGGCCAUCCGUUAGUGCUUUCUGAAUUUUGCGGGGCCAGACAUAA